GAUGAACGCUGGCGGCGUGCCUAAUACAUGCAAGUCGAGCGAACGGACGAGAAGCUUGCUUCUCUGAUGUUAGCGGCGGACGGGUGAGUAACACGUGGAUAACCUACCUAUAAGACUGGGAUAACUUCGGGAAACCGGAGCUAAUACCGGAUAAUAUUUUGAACCGCAUGGUUCAAAAGUGAGAGACGGUCUUGCUGUCACUUAUAGAUGGAUCCGCGCUGCAUUAGCUAGUUGGUAAGGUAACGGCUUACCAAGGCAACGAUGCAUAGCCGACCUGAGAGGGGGAUCGGCCACACGGGAACUGAGACGCGGUCCAGACUCCUACGGGAGGCAGCAGUAGGGAAUCUGCGGCAAUGGGCGAAAGCCUGACGGAGCAACGCCGCGUGAGUGACGAAGGUCUUCGGAUCGUAAAACUCUGUUAUUAGGGGAGAACAUAUGUGUAAGGAAAUGUGCACAUCGUGACGGUACCUAAUCAGAAAGCCACGGCUAACUACGUG
This 497-nucleotide ribosomal RNA is filed under the name uncultured bacterium. Its description in RNAcentral is "partial 16S ribosomal RNA". It matches the Rfam family "Bacterial small subunit ribosomal RNA", at positions 28 to 507 of the family's 1533-position model. The record is from RNAcentral.